GUGUAUUAAGUGUUCGAAAUUCUACUCCCACGCCCCUUCCGCUAACGUUAGACGAUUAACGAAAUAUCACCUUUCUUGUUCCUCUACUUUUACAAACAAACCUCACCGAGAAAGACCCAAAACCAAGAUCAAUGUCCAAUAAUCAUAAUCUUCCUUCACGUUACAUUAUUUUAUUAGUAAUUCUAUUGUCUUCUGCAAAUUUCCUUCCUUCAGUCCUGGCCAAAUCUCGUAAUCCAAUCACAGAUUCUGAGAUUAAGAAAAAGAAGAGUGAAUGUUAUGCUGAUAUCGACAGUGGAUUGUGGGGUGGGCAAUGUAAGUCUUCAUCAAUAGCAAAGGAGAAUUGUGCUUUGAAGUGCCUUUCUCUGGCUUGUUACGAGCUUAUAUAUGAAAGUGAUCCCCUUGAAGAAGGAGAGAAAGAUUUUAUAAGGAGCCAAGAGUUCAAAUACUGCAUGUAUAAGUUAUCAUUAGGAGGGAGCCUCGAAGGUGUCAGGGGUUCCUUUGACAAUUAAACCAUUUAAGCUGGCAGCAUUGAUUGUGAGAGUAUGAGUUGGAUAUUGGUUCUGUAUUAAUGAUUGUCUUUACAUGACAGAAAGGCCCAAUGCAGUGAGUGUGGCUGUGGGUCGGUUUUUUCUGUGAUUGCUGUCUGUAUUUUGAAUUUUAAUCAAGCAUUGAGCUUUUCUUUUUUUUUUUUUCAAACUCUUUUAUGGAGUCCUGGACCAUGUCCAGAGUAUAUCAAGGCGUGAUAGAGUAGUGCUUUUGGAUGUAACAGCUGAACACCCGAAAAUGUAAAUCAAUUUAUGAGUUAAAUUCACACCAGAAG
This is a non-coding RNA of Durio zibethinus, 820 nucleotides long. NCBI's taxonomy places the organism in Eukaryota, Viridiplantae, Streptophyta, Magnoliopsida, Malvales, Malvaceae. The record is from RefSeq and is a predicted model, not a curated record.